AUUGAACGCUGGCGGCAUGCUUUACACAUGCAAGUCGAACGGUAACAGGCCUUCGGUUGCUGACGAGUGGCGAACGGGUGAGUAAUGCAUCGGAACGUACCCAGAGGUUGGGGAUAACGCAGCGAAAGCUGUGCUAAUACCGCAUGUGAUCUGAGGAUGAAAGCGGGGGACCGAGCAGCAAUGUUUGGCCUCGCGCCUUUGGAGCGGCCGAUGUCGGAUUAGCUAGUUGGUGGGGUAAAGGCCUACCAAGGCGACGAUCCGUAGCUGGUCUGAGAGGACGAUCGGCCACACUGGGACUGAGACACGGCCCAGACUCCUACGGGAGGCAGCAGUGGGGAAUUUUGGACAAUGGGCGCAAGCCUGAUCCAGCAAUGCCGCGUGCGGGAAGAAGGCCUUCGGGUUGUAAACCGCUUUUGGCAGGAACGAAACGGUGUCCGCUAAUACCGGGCGCUAAUGACGGUACCUGCAGAAUAAGCACCGGCUAACUACGUG
This 492-nucleotide ribosomal RNA is filed under the name uncultured bacterium. Its description in RNAcentral is "partial 16S ribosomal RNA". It matches the Rfam family "Bacterial small subunit ribosomal RNA", at positions 30 to 507 of the family's 1533-position model. The record is from RNAcentral.